GCAAACUUGGUCAUUUAGAGGAAGUAAAAGUCGUAACAAGGUUUCCGUAGGUGAACCUGCGGAAGGAUCAUCACUGAUUCGGGGGCGUGGGAAGUCACGCCUCCAACCAAUCUUGUGUGAACCGUAACGAGCACUACGUGUGAAAAGGUUGGCGGUUCGGGGAGACCCGCCGCCAACGUCACACGCGUAUUAACUCCUUACAAUCUUGUCUAACAUUACACACCUAAAUUACACAACUUUUAACAAUGGAUCUCUUGGCUCUCGCAUCGAUGAAGAACGCAGC
RNAcentral lists this unclassified non-coding RNA (283 nucleotides) under uncultured fungus. Its description in RNAcentral is "partial contains small subunit ribosomal RNA, internal transcribed spacer 1, and 5.8S ribosomal RNA". The stretch from base 1 to 73 matches the Rfam family "Eukaryotic small subunit ribosomal RNA", at positions 1759 to 1831 of the family's 1831-position model. The record is from RNAcentral. Lineage: Eukaryota; Fungi.